RNAcentral lists this ribosomal RNA (497 nucleotides) under uncultured bacterium. RNAcentral describes it as "partial 16S ribosomal RNA". It matches the Rfam family "Bacterial small subunit ribosomal RNA", at positions 28 to 507 of the family's 1533-position model. The record is from RNAcentral.
GAUGAACGCUGGCGGCGUGCCUAAUACAUGCAAGUCGAGCGAACAGACGAGGAGCUUGCUCCUCUGACGUUAGCGGCGGACGGGUGAGUAACACGUGGAUAACCUACCUAUAAGACUGGGAUAACUUCGGGAAGCCGGAGCUAAUACCGGAUAAUAUAUUGAACCGCAUGGUUCAAUAGUGAAAGACGGUUUUGCUGUCACUUAUAGAUGGAUCCGCGCCGCAUUAGCUAGUUGGUAAGGUAACGGCUUACCAAGGCGACGAUGCGCAGCCGACCUGAGAGGGUGAUCGGCCACACUGGAACUGAGACACGGUCCAGACUCCUACGGGAGGCAGCAGUAGGGAAUCUUCCGCAAUGGGCGAAAGCCUGACGGAGCAACGCCGCGUGAGUGAUGAAGGUCUUCGGAUCGUAAAACUCUGUUAUUAGGGAAGAACAAAUGUGUAAGUAACUAUGCACGUCUUGACGGUACCUAAUCAGAAAGCCACGGCUAACUACGUG